UUAAGUUAUUAAGGGCGCACGGUGGAUGCCUUGGCACUAGAAGCCGAUGAAGGACGUUACUAACGACGAUAUGCUUUGGGGAGCUGUAAGUAAGCUUUGAUCCAGAGAUUUCCGAAUGGGGAAACCCAGCAUGAGUUAUGUCAUGUUAUCGAUAUGUGAAUACAUAGCAUAUNNNNNNNNNNNNNNNNNNNNNNNAGAAGGCACACCCGGAGAACUGAAACAUCUUAGUACCCGGAGGAAGAGAAAGAAAAUUCGAUUCCCUUAGUAGCGGCGAGCGAAACGGGAAGAGCCCAAACCAACAAGCUUGCUUGUUGGGGUUGUAGGACACUCUAUACGGAGUUACAAAGGACGACAUUAGACGAAUCAUCUGGAAAGAUGAAUCAAAGAAGGUAAUAAUCCUGUAGUCGAAAAUGUUGUCUCUCUUGAGUGGAUCCUGAGUACGACGGAGCACGUGAAAUUCCGUCGGAAUCUGGGAGGACCAUCUCCUAAGGCUAAAUACUCUCUAGUGACCGAUAGUGAACCAGUACCGUGAGGGAAAGGUGAAAAGCACCCCGGAAGGGGAGUGAAAUAGAACCUGAAACCGUGUGCUUACAAGUAGUCAGAGCCCGUUAAUGGGUGAUGGCGUGCCUUUUGUAGAAUGAACCGGCGAGUUACGAUUUGAUGCAAGGUUAAGCAGUAAAUGUGGAGCCGUAGCGAAAGCGAGUCUGAAUAGGGCGUUUAGUAUUUGGUCGUAGACCCGAAACCAGGUGAUCUACCCUUGGUCAGGUUGAAGUUCAGGUAACACUGAAUGGAGGACCGAACCGACUUACGUUGAAAAGUGAGCGGAUGAACUGAGGGUAGCGGAGAAAUUCCAAUCGAACCUGGAGAUAGCUGGUUCUCUCCGAAAUAGCUUUAGGGCUAGCCUCAAGUGAUGAUUAUUGGAGGUAGAGCACUGUUUGGACGAGGGGCCCCUCUCGGGUUACCGAAUUCAGACAAACUCCGAAUGCCAAUUAAUUUAACUUGGGAGUCAGAACAUGGGUGAUAAGGUCCGUGUUCGAAAGGGAAACAGCCCAGACCACCAGCUAAGGUCCCAAAAUAUAUGUUAAGUGGAAAAGGAUGUGGCGUUGCCCAGACAACUAGGAUGUUGGCUUAGAAGCAGCCAUCAUUUAAAGAGUGCGUAAUAGCUCACUAGUCGAGUGACACUGCGCCGAAAAUGUACCGGGGCUAAACAUAUUACCGAAGCUGUGGAUUGUCCUUUGGACAAUGGUAGGAGAGCGUUCUAAGGGCGUUGAAGCAUGAUCGUAAGGACAUGUGGAGCGCUUAGAAGUGAGAAUGCCGGUGUGAGUAGCGAAAGACGGGUGAGAAUCCCGUCCACCGAUUGACUAAGGUUUCCAGAGGAAGGCUCGUCCGCUCUGGGUUAGUCGGGUCCUAAGCUGAGGCCGACAGGCGUAGGCGAUGGAUAACAGGUUGAUAUUCCUGUACCACCUAUAAUCGUUUUAAUCGAUGGGGGGNGGGGGGACGCAGUAGGAUAGGCGAAGCGUGCGAUUGGAUUGCACGUCUAAGCAGUAAGGCUGAGUAUUAGGCAAAUCCGGUACUCGUUAAGGCUGAGCUGUGAUGGGGAGAAGACAUUGUGUCUUCGAGUCGUUGAUUUCACACUGCCGAGAAAAGCCUCUAGAUAGAAAAUAGGUGCCCGUACCGCAAACCGACACAGGUAGUCAAGAUGAGAAUUCUAAGGUGAGCGAGCGAACUCUCGUUAAGGAACUCGGCAAAAUGACCCCGUAACUUCGGGAGAAGGGGUGCUCUUUAGGGUUAACGCCCAGAAGAGCCGCAGUGAAUAGGCCCAAGCGACUGUUUAUCAAAAACACAGGUCUCUGCUAAACCGUAAGGUGAUGUAUAGGGGCUGACGCCUGCCCGGUGCUGGAAGGUUAAGAGGAGUGGUUAGCUUCUGCGAAGCUACGAAUCGAAGCCCCAGUAAACGGCGGCCGUAACUAUAACGGUCCUAAGGUAGCGAAAUUCCUUGUCGGGUAAGUUCCGACCCGCACGAAAGGCGUAACGAUUUGGGCACUGUCUCAACGAGAGACUCGGUGAAAUCAUAGUACCUGUGAAGAUGCAGGUUACCCGCGACAGGACGGAAAGACCCCGUGGAGCUUUACUGUAGCCUGAUAUUGAAAUUCGGCACAGCUUGUACAGGAUAGGUAGGAGCCUUUGAAACGUGAGCGCUAGCUUACGUGGAGGCGCUGGUGGGAUACUACCCUAGCUGUGUUGGCUUUCUAACCCGCACCACUUAUCGUGGUGGGAGACAGUGUCAGGCGGGCAGUUUGACUGGGGCGGUCGCCUCCUAAAAGGUAACGGAGGCGCUCAAAGGUUCCCUCAGAAUGGUUGGAAAUCAUUCAUAGAGUGUAAAGGCAUAAGGGAGCUUGACUGCGAGACCUACAAGUCGAGCAGGGUCGAAAGACGGACUUAGUGAUCCGGUGGUUCCGCAUGGAAGGGCCAUCGCUCAACGGAUAAAAGCUACCCCGGGGAUAACAGGCUUAUCUCCCCCAAGAGUUCACAUCGACGGGGAGGUUUGGCACCUCGAUGUCGGCUCAUCGCAUCCUGGGGCUGUAGUCGGUCCCAAGGGUUGGGCUGUUCGCCCAUUAAAGCGGUACGCGAGCUGGGUUCAGAACGUCGUGAGACAGUUCGGUCCCUAUCCGUCGUGGGCGUAGGAAAUUUGAGAGGAGCUGUCCUUAGUACGAGAGGACCGGGAUGGACAUACCUCUGGUGUACCAGUUGUCGUGCCAACGGCAUAGCUGGGUAGCUAUGUGUGGACGGGAUAAGUGCUGAAAGCAUCUAAGCAUGAAGCCCCCCUCAAGAUGAGAUUUCCCAACUUCGGUUAUAAGAUCCCUCAAAGAUGAUGAGGUUAAUAGGUUCGAGGUGGAAGCAUGGUGACAUGUGGAGCUGACGAAUACUAAUCGAUCGAAGACUUAAUCAA
Molecule: ribosomal RNA, 2950 nt
Filed under: Staphylococcus aureus
Lineage: Bacteria; Bacillati; Bacillota; Bacilli; Caryophanales; Staphylococcaceae
Description: bacterial LSU rRNA
Rfam family: Bacterial large subunit ribosomal RNA
Source: RNAcentral